UACGUAGGGUGCGAGCGUUGCCCGGAUUUAUUGGGCGUAAAGGGCGCGUAGGCGGCUCGGCACGUCCGUUGUGAAAUCGCCCGGCUCAACUGGGCGGGGUCAGCGGAUACGGUCGAGCUUGAGCAAGCUAGGGGGCAAUGGAAUUCCCGGUGUAGUGGUGGAAUGCGUAGAUAUCGGGAAGAACACCCGUGGCGAAGGCGGUUCUCUGGGACGGUACUGACGCUGAGACGUGAAAGCGUGGGGAGCGAACAGG
This 253-nucleotide ribosomal RNA is filed under the name uncultured bacterium. Its description in RNAcentral is "partial 16S ribosomal RNA". It matches the Rfam family "Bacterial small subunit ribosomal RNA", at positions 524 to 776 of the family's 1533-position model. The record is from RNAcentral.